Felis catus (domestic cat) is the source of this 3898-nucleotide long non-coding RNA. RefSeq lists it as uncharacterized. Lineage: Eukaryota; Metazoa; Chordata; Mammalia; Carnivora; Felidae. The transcript is spliced from 3 exons. The record is from RefSeq and is a predicted model, not a curated record.
AAAGAAAAAGAGACUCAUGGGCCAAUCAGCGUCUAGAACUUGGUUGAAGUUGCCAAGGAACCGUGAGCACUUGCGUAAGUGCCUGAAAUAAACCCAGGCCACUGUGGUCAUAACCGUACUGUCCCCUAUGCUGGCUAGCCAACAGGUACGGUUCUAGGCACUUCACAAACACUUCUUGGGAUGUUAACUGUCAGAUAGUCAGUAAGGAUUUUCUGGCAAAAGCGGGCCAGAGAAUAGCUGCCCCUAAGAAACUCCGCUGAGCCGAAGCGCUCACCGCCCUUCUCUAAGCCGUGGGCACUGAGACCAUAGCUGUUCCUUCCCCUGUGGCUAAGAUGUGAUUUGCUGGCGAGAAGACUGGACUCGGCAAAGGGCCUCAGGUCCGCCACUCCCAGGCCGACCCGCUGCGGGGACGCUUCUCUGCCGCUCUGAACCCCAGUUUGCUCCACCAGCUAUAAAGACAGCGGCCUCACCGAGAGCAAAGCGUGAAACGAGAUAAUCCGUGUGAGAGUUCAGAUCGCGGUGCCAGGUUCACGGCAAGAACCCAACACCCAGCUGGCAGAACAGCACCUUGUAAAUAGCAGAGGCAGGAGGCGCGGGUGGGAGCCCGGCAGCAGGGAGCCUGGAUUCUGGGAGGAGAUAGAAACCUCCGCGGAAUAUACUACCCCACCCCACGGCCCAGCACGCACCAAGUCUGAUGAGCUCUUGAAAUUGUCCUCUUCUAGGGGCCAGGCAUAUGCAUACACCUGCGGGCACUUUGUUCCAAGCCAGCCCCUCAGCUGGGGCUGAGGAAACCAAAAGGACCAGGCAGCAGGCUGUGAGUCCCGCAGGCACGCUGGCCCCGCAUCCCCAUUAGACUGCGAGGUCCAAAGCCCCACUCGGCGCCAAUCCUUUCUGCAGGCAACGGCCAACCCCCCAACUAGGAGAAUCAAUGGAUUUUUCUCCCCACCGAUACCUAAAUAGCUAUUUGAAUGUGUUCUGUAACAGGAGGAGCUGUUGAACAAAAGGUCAGGGCUGAUCUGAAGUCCGUCUUUCCGUCGGCAGUUGCUUUUAAACACGCAAUGCUCCAGCUCUGCGAGGCCCUGAAGAUAAAAAAAAAAAUUAUAUAAAUGUACAAAUGACUUUAUGACUUUGAUUAUGCAACUUCUGAGAAAAUAGCCAUCUGAACCGUUAAGGAAGACUAAAGAUAUUGUGAUAAAGAAGACUCUUUGAAAUUCUGCUUUUUAAAAAAAAAAAAAAAUCUAUGUCAUGAGAUAUGAAUGUAGCCAAAGCCUUGAUAAAAGUCGUGUCAGCCUUUUGCCACAGAAGCUGCCGAAGCAUGAAAGAGACCACGGGCCUGGAGAUCUUUGCUGCCUUUAAAGUCUGGCUUAUUAACAUGCAUUAGAGUCUUCCUGAAGAUGGGUCUGGCCAAAGGUUAUCAAGGGAAACUUAAUUUAAUGAGCCCAGAACACAGGGAGAGGAGCCCUGUAAAGCCAACACCGAGAGGAAUUUGGGGCAAGGGCAUUUCAUUUUCUGAAGAGGAGAAACAAAGAUAAACUCAUUAAAGCGCAAGAAACGGCAGGCGGAAGGUGAAGGGAAUGGCCUUGGGACUGCAAGCUGUGCCCACCCUCUCGUAAGAAGAAUGCCCUUGGAAAAGUCCCCAGCUUUACUUAAGCCCUGGCUUGCUGAUUUUUAGCCGGAUAAGAGUAAUAUCUGUGUCACAAGGCUUUGGUGAGCAUCAAAUGUGAUCAUAGAUGUGCAAGCAUCCUGCAAAUGCAACAACUCUAAAAGGGUCAUAUCCUGCCCUUACUUUACCAAUGGAGAAUCUAAGGAACACAAUACCUCAGUAACUUGCGAAGAGUCACAUGGUCAGUAAGUAGCAGAACCAGGCUUCAAACCCAGAUCUGACUGCAGGGACAAUGCUCUGAACCGGAUGCUACCCCACCUUCUCUCUCCUGCCGUGUUAUUAAAUCAGACUUUUUCUAAAAAGAGAAUAAGACUCCACUGUUUCACGACCUACUUGGAAACAGAGUAUGGCCCAGAUAGAGGAUGGACUGUGUCUUUCUUCUUCCUCAGGGCCAAGAAACUGUCUGCAAUAAUCUGGAGGCCCGUGAGCCACAUGACAACUGUAGGUGAACUAGGGUUCAAAAGGUAACUAGAGUUUGGUAGACUUGUGAACUGAGUUUGGAGUCCUGCAGUCACUGGUAUGCAAAGGCAAAAAGGGUAGUCACUGAAGAGGAUGACUUAAAGAACCCAAGUGAAGAAUUGGCUACAUUAAAUGAAGGAAAACUAAUUCAGAGGCCACUAACUCUGCAUUGGGGUGGGAGACGAAAAAUCAGAACUCUUUUUAUAAGAUUGGGAAUUCACAAAUAGUCUCUGCUGUGAUUGGAGAGAGAGAAUGUAUUUCGGGCGAUAAAAGUAGGAAGAGGUCAAUAAACAUUUCUGAAAGCACAGAUGACCAGUUGAAAAGACUAUCUUACGAAAAUGAAUCUAUUACUGAAGUGCUGGACCAACAAAGGAAAGUAGAGGUUGAAGUCAAAGCCGUAGGGAUUCAGCAAACUGUUGCUAAAGUAACAAUCCAUUACGAGGCUAUUGUAACACAAGAAACCUUGAGAAGGAUGAUUGAUAAAAACACUUGGAGUGGAUAUAGAGGAGGACAAAAAAUUUGUGUGGAGGUGUAUGGCCUAGAUUACUUAUAGAAGACUGGUAUCAUCAGUAAAAAAUAGAAAAACACAAAUAUUCAGUUAGGAGAAAAGUUAACGACAGUAAUGGCUACCAUUUUUUCAUUGAAAUAUCACUGUGCCAAUCAUUGUAUCACUCUUCAGACCCUAUGUAAUUGAGUCUUCACAAACAUACUGUGCUCUAGGCAAUUGUUGUUCUCUUCUACAAUAAUAAAGAAAAAAGUCUCAGGUUAAGUUAUUUGCCUAAAGUCACAUAGGUAGCAAGAGAUGGUCCCAAAAUAAUGAGAUGAGUCUUAAACAUUUUGAGAUGUCGACAGAGUAUUACAAAAGAAAUACUGAAAUACAAUUUGGAAAAUGGGGUAGGAAGAAAAUUAACUGGAGGUAUCACUGUAAUGAUUUUGUUGCCUGAAGGGACCACCAUGACCUGUGCCUUAAUGGCACCAAGGUGAGGGUGUGAGGCUGGAAACGCAAAUUAGGGACCUUGUCAAGGUCAAGGUCCUUGUCAAGGUCCUUGUCAAGGACCAUGUCAUGACCUUGUCAAGAAGGAAACGCUGGAAACGCAAAUUAGGGACCUUGUCAAGGUCAAGGUCUUUGUCAAGGUCCUUGUCAAGGACCAUGUCAUGACCUUGUCAAGAAAAGAUGGUUUCCUGAAGAAAUAUCCAAAGGAGGUGGGGGAGCAGACUACAUGACAGGAUUUUGUGAAUGCUCAUAAGUCAAAGAGUAGUUUGACCAUUAGGAUGUCCAUUAUCCAAAAAAAACAGAAAAAAAGUAUGUGAAGAAACUGGAACCCUUGUGCACUGCUGAUGGGAAUGUAAACAGGCACAGCCGCUGUGAAAACCAAUAUAUGAGAUCUAAAAUGGCUAAAAUAAUGAUGGGAAAUAACUACUGUGUUUCAGCAUAAUGGAAAAAAAGAUAAUGGCUAACAUGGUAAAUGCUAUGCUAUAUAUAGUUUAUCAGAAUUUUAGAAGCGUAAAGUUGGAUGAAGAAUGAGGCUCUUCCACUCUGCAUUAUGUGUGUUGUGAGGAGGUUGGAGAGGUCCAACUAACCAUCUUAAAGGACGGUCCAACGCACCGUCUUAAAGAGCCUAGCAUUAGGAAAACAAGUUAUAGGUGUAUAGUUGCUGAUUUUUAUGCUCUGACCCACCUCAUCUAAAGAAGAGAGACUAAGGGGCGCCUGGGUGGCGCAGUCGGUUGAGCGUCCGACUUCAGCCAGGUCACGAUCUCGCGGUCCGUGAGUUCGAG